GACCGCGUAGCUCAGCUGGCACAGCAUUGGGCUAGUAUUCCAAAGGUCGUAGGUUCGAUUCCCACCGUGGCCA
This 73-nucleotide transfer RNA is filed under the name Paramuricea clavata. It matches the Rfam family "tRNA". From Rfam's summary of the family: Transfer RNA (tRNA) molecules are approximately 80 nucleotides in length. Their secondary structure includes four short double-helical elements and three loops (D, anti-codon, and T loops). Further hydrogen bonds mediate the characteristic L-shaped molecular structure. tRNAs have two regions of fundamental functional importance: the anti-codon, which is responsible for specific mRNA codon recognition, and the 3' end, to which the tRNAs corresponding amino acid is attached (by aminoacyl-tRNA synthetases). tRNAs cope with the degeneracy of the genetic code in two manners: having more than one tRNA (with a specific anti-codon) for a particular amino acid; and 'wobble' base-pairing, i.e. permitting non-standard base-pairing at the 3rd anti-codon position. The record is from Rfam by way of RNAcentral. Lineage: Eukaryota; Metazoa; Cnidaria; Anthozoa; Malacalcyonacea; Plexauridae.